GUGAGGUUGUCGAAUUUUAAUUACAAAGAAAUCAAGUCUAUUAUGAAUAUUAAUUCAAUUAAGCAUUUGAUUAAGAAAAAUAAAAGGAAAAGCAACUUGGGUUACAAGCCAAGGUUUAUUAAGAAAAUAUUUUUGGAGUUUUGCAUGUUUUUGUUGUUUUUGAAUAAUAAAUGAAAAUUAAACUAACGGAGCAAUAAAAAUAAAAGCGCGUGGAUUUUUGUAGUGACGUUGGAUCACCACAAAAUCCCUAAUCUAAUUUUUUUUGCAUUUUUUGGAUAUAUCUAAGGCGGUAAGGAAAUAAAAGGACACACACACCCACACACUUUUCUCAUUUAUAUUUACAUUGGACCUAAAUACAUUCUAAUUGCUGGAAAAUAAAUAACAAUAAUUAAAAUGCUAAAUAGAAAUAAAAUAAAAAUGUAAAAAUGCUAAAAAGAAAUAAAAAUGCAAGAAAAUAAAAGAAAUGGGCUACCGAAGGGACAAAAUUCCGAAGGGACUUUUCCGAAGGGACUUAUUCCGAAGGGACAGAAAAAAAAGGGAGAAGAAAAGAAUAGCUCGUUAACACAAGCUAAAUAGGGAGAAGAGAGAAAAGUUCUUUGACAACUCAAGAGAACUUUUUGGUGUGUCAAAUUGUGUGAAAUGAGGGCUCUAUUUAUAGGUGAGGAGGUUGAUGAAAAAAGGAAAAAUGGUUUAAUGGAAAUGAAGGACAAUUAUGGUGAAUUUUGAAAAAGGAAUGUUAAAGUUGACACUUGACUUGAAAUUUUUUUUAGACCUUGUACAUUUUAUUUUGGACCUAUUGACACUUUGUUUUUUUUUUGACACUAAUUAAUUAAAAAGAAAUAAAAUAAAUCUAAUACGAAAUAAAAUAAAAUAAAUCUAAUACGAAAUAAAAUAAAACAAAUUAAACUAAAAGAUGGAAAAUAAAAAUUAUUAAGUAUAAAAAAAGUAACUAAUCUUAAAAUUAAAAUUAAUAAAAGAUGGAAAGAAAAUAAAAAGAGAAAAGAGAGUCCGACUCGGAAUCAAAAAUGAGGUACUUCAAAGUAACCUCUUUGCCAAAAUUUCGUCUGAAACGACGAAAAUUCCCGACUUUAAAAAUACAAAUAAAAUGGGUAAGAAUAGAGAAAAGUGGUCAAAAUUUGGGGUAUGACAGAUGCCCCUAUUUAAGUUUCUCCGUCACGGAGAUUUAAAAAAAAUGAAAAUUUUAAAUCAACGGGUCGAAGAGACUUAAAUACUAAGUACACCAAUUUUUGACCAGUUGAAAUGCUGAGAAUGCAAUGCUUAUGAAUAUACUGGUAUGAAUGUCUGCGAUGCAAGUAUGAAUGCAAGGACGACAAAAAUACAUUGACUGGGGAAAAAACUGAUAGAUAUCACUGGGGAGG
RNAcentral lists this long non-coding RNA (1379 nucleotides) under Medicago truncatula (barrel medic). RNAcentral's name for it is "long non-coding RNA (MTRU_LNC001541)". The record is from RNAcentral. Lineage: Eukaryota; Viridiplantae; Streptophyta; Magnoliopsida; Fabales; Fabaceae.